Molecule: ribosomal RNA, 324 nt
Filed under: uncultured fungus
Lineage: Eukaryota; Fungi
Description: LSU rRNA
Rfam family: Eukaryotic large subunit ribosomal RNA
Source: RNAcentral
AUACUGGCCAGAGACCGAUAGCGCACAAGUAGAGUGAUCGAAAGAUGAAAAGCACUUUGGAAAGAGAGUUAAAAAGCACGUGAAAUUGUUAAAAGGGAAGGGAUUGCAACCAGACUUGCUCGCGGUGUUCCGCCGGUCUUCUGACCGGUCUACUCGCCGCGUUGCAGGCCAGCAUCGUCUGGUGCCGCUGGAUAAGACUUGAGGAAUGUAGCUCCCUCGUGAGUGUUAUAGCCUCUUGUGAUGCAGCGAGCGCCGGGCGAGGACCGCGCUUCGGCUAGGAUGCUGGCGUAAUGGUUGUAAGCCACCCGUCUUGAAACACGGACC